GGUUAAGCGACUAAGCGUACACGGUGGAUGCCCUGGCAGUCAGAGGCGAUGAAGGACGUGCUAAUCUGCGAAAAGCGUCGGUAAGGUGAUAUGAACCGUUAUAGCCGGCGAUGUCCGAAUGGGGAAACCCAGUGCAAUUCGUUGCACUAUCGUUAACUGAAUACAUAGGUUAACGAGGCGAACCGGGGGAACUGAAACAUCUAAGUACCCCGAGGAAAAGAAAUCAACCGAGAUUCCCCCAGUAGCGGCGAGCGAACGGGGAGCAGCCCAGAGUCUGAAUCAGCUUGUGUGUUAGUGGAACGGUCUGGAAAGUCCGACGGUACAGGGUGAUAGUCCCGUACACCAAAAUGCACAGGCUGUGAACUCGAAGAGUAGGGCGGGACACGUGGUAUCCUGUCUGAAUAUGGGGGGACCAUCCUCCAAGGCUAAAUACUCCUGACUGACCGAUAGUGAACCAGUACCGUGAGGGAAAGGCGAAAAGAACCCCGGCGAGGGGAGUGAAAAAGAACCUGAAACCGUGUACGUACAAGCAGUGGGAGCACCUUCGGGUGUGACUGCGUACCUUUUGUAUAAUGGGUCAGCGACUUAUAUUCUGUAGCAAGGUUAACCGUAUAGGGGAGCCGCAGGGAAACCGAGUCUUAACUGGGCGUUAAGUUGCAGGGUAUAGACCCGAAACCCGGUGAUCUAGCCAUGGGCAGGUUGAAGGUUGGGUAACACUAACUGGAGGACCGAACCGACUAAUGUUGAAAAAUUAGCGGAUGACUUGUGGCUGGGGGUGAAAGGCCAAUCAAACCGGGAGAUAGCUGGUUCUCCCCGAAAGCUAUUUAGGUAGCGCCUCGUGAACUCAUCUUCGGGGGUAGAGCACUGUUUCGGCUAGGGGGUCAUCCCGACUUACCAACCCGAUGCAAACUACGAAUACCGAAGAAUGUUAUCACGGGAGACACACGGCGGGUGCUAACGUCCGUCGUGAAGAGGGAAACAACCCAGACCGCCAGCUAAGGUCCCAAAGUCAUGGUUAAGUGGGAAACGAUGUGGGAAGGCACAGACAGCCAGGAUGUUGGCUUAGAAGCAGCCAUCAUUUAAAGAAAGCGUAAUAGCUCACUGGUCGAGUCGGCCUGCGCGGAAGAUGUAACGGGGCUAAACCAUGCACCGAAGCUGCGGCAGCGACACUAUGUGUUGUUGGGUAGGGGAGCGUUCUGUAAGCCUGCGAAGGUGACCUGUGAGGGUUGCUGGAGGUAUCAGAAGUGCGAAUGCUGACAUAAGUAACGAUAAAGCGGGUGAAAAGCCCGCUCGCCGGAAGACCAAGGGUUCCUGUCCAACGUUAAUCGGGGCAGGGUGAGUCGACCCCUAAGGCGAGGCCGAAAGGCGUAGUCGAUGGGAAACAGGUUAAUAUUCCUGUACUUGGUGUUACUGCGAAGGGGGGACGGAGAAGGCUAUGUUAGCCGGGCGACGGUUGUCCCGGUUUAAGCAUGUAGGCUGGUUAUCCAGGCAAAUCCGGAUAAUCAAGGCUGAGGUGUGAUGACGAGGCACUACGGUGCUGAAGUAACAAAUGCCCUGCUUCCAGGAAAAGCCUCUAAGCAUCAGGUAACAUCAAAUCGUACCCCAAACCGACACAGGUGGUCAGGUAGAGAAUACCAAGGCGCUUGAGAGAACUCGGGUGAAGGAACUAGGCAAAAUGGUGCCGUAACUUCGGGAGAAGGCACGCUGGUGUGUAGGUGAAGUCCCUGCGGAUGGAGCUGAGACCAGUCGAAGAUACCAGCUGGCUGCAACUGUUUAUUAAAAACACAGCACUGUGCAAACACGAAAGUGGACGUAUACGGUGUGACGCCUGCCCGGUGCCGGAAGGUUAAUUGAUGGGGUUAUCCGUAAGGAGAAGCUCUUGAUCGAAGCCCCGGUAAACGGCGGCCGUAACUAUAACGGUCCUAAGGUAGCGAAAUUCCUUGUCGGGUAAGUUCCGACCUGCACGAAUGGCGUAAUGAUGGCCAGGCUGUCUCCACCCGAGACUCAGUGAAAUUGAACUCGCUGUGAAGAUGCAGUGUACCCGCGGCAAGACGGAAAGACCCCGUGAACCUUUACUAUAGCUUGACACUGAACAUUGAGCCUUGAUGUGUAGGAUAGGUGGGAGGCUUUGAAGCGUGGACGCCAGUCUGCGUGGAGCCAACCUUGAAAUACCACCCUUUAAUGUUUGAUGUUCUAACGUGGGCCCCUAAUCGGGGUUGCGGACAGUGUCUGGUGGGUAGUUUGACUGGGGCGGUCUCCUCCCAAAGCGUAACGGAGGAGCACGAAGGUUAGCUAAUCCUGGUCGGACAUCAGGAGGUUAGUGCAAUGGCAUAAGCUAGCUUGACUGCGAGCGUGACGGCGCGAGCAGGUGCGAAAGCAGGUCAUAGUGAUCCGGUGGUUCUGAAUGGAAGGGCCAUCGCUCAACGGAUAAAAGGUACUCCGGGGAUAACAGGCUGAUACCGCCCAAGAGUUCAUAUCGACGGCGGUGUUUGGCACCUCGAUGUCGGCUCAUCACAUCCUGGGGCUGAAGUAGGUCCCAAGGGUAUGGCUGUUCGCCAUUUAAAGUGGUACGCGAGCUGGGUUUAGAACGUCGUGAGACAGUUCGGUCCCUAUCUGCCGUGGGCGCUGGAGAAUUGAGGGGGGCUGCUCCUAGUACGAGAGGACCGGAGUGGACGCAUCACUGGUGUUCGGGUUGUCAUGCCAAUGGCACUGCCCGGUAGCUAAAUGCGGAAGAGAUAAGUGCUGAAAGCAUCUAAGCACGAAACUUGCCCCGAGAUGAGUUCUCCCUGAGACUUUAAGUCUCCUGAAGGAACGUUGAAGACGACGACGUUGAUAGGCCGGGUGUGUAAGCGCAGCGAUGCGUUGAGCUAACCGGUACUAAUGAACCGUGAGGCUUAACCUU
Molecule: ribosomal RNA, 2902 nt
Filed under: Klebsiella quasipneumoniae
Lineage: Bacteria; Pseudomonadati; Pseudomonadota; Gammaproteobacteria; Enterobacterales; Enterobacteriaceae
Also listed under: 1 other name
Description: 23S ribosomal RNA
Rfam family: Bacterial large subunit ribosomal RNA
Source: RNAcentral